GAAAACUGACUAUACAUACCUUUGACUUUAUACUUUCAAGCAUUUGAACUAUAGGUUCAAAACUACAUGACUUUCAUAUGGAAUCAAUUCUACUUGAAUUGUAUCUCUUCCAUUUGGCCAAUAUUUUUGUUUGUAUUCGACAAACUUAAGAUCCUCAUCUAUAUUUAGCGCUAUCAUAGAUGUCGUCGACGAACAUUUUAUAUCGG
Molecule: long non-coding RNA, 206 nt
Filed under: Nicotiana benthamiana
Lineage: Eukaryota; Viridiplantae; Streptophyta; Magnoliopsida; Solanales; Solanaceae
Description: long non-coding RNA (NBEN_LNC010043)
Source: RNAcentral